Molecule: small RNA, 268 nt
Filed under: Arabidopsis thaliana (thale cress)
Lineage: Eukaryota; Viridiplantae; Streptophyta; Magnoliopsida; Brassicales; Brassicaceae
Description: ATSL162400
Source: RNAcentral
UUUUUUUUUCUACUCCAAAUUUUGACGUUAAGGUACUUUUUAAGGCCUUUUCGUGAUCUUUGCUAUAUUACGGAGCGAAAAUUAUAUGUUUGGACAUUGUUUUCGAAUAUUUUGCAUGUAUCAAAGCUCUCAUAAACAAGAUAGGGUAUUCCUACAUAGCUGGUGGGACCCACGACAAAUGGAUAGUAAAGUCUUCAUAAAAGAAUAGAUACUAUUGCAUUGCAUGUAGUAACGGAUGCGAUCAUAUCAGCACUAACGCACCGGAUCU